GGCCCCAUCGUCUAACGGCUCAGGACUCGGCCCUCUCACGGCCGCAAUCGGGGUUCGAAUCCCCGUGGGGUCA
Molecule: transfer RNA, 73 nt
Filed under: Phycisphaerae bacterium
Lineage: Bacteria; Pseudomonadati; Planctomycetota; Phycisphaerae
Description: tRNA-Glu
Rfam family: tRNA
About the family: Transfer RNA (tRNA) molecules are approximately 80 nucleotides in length. Their secondary structure includes four short double-helical elements and three loops (D, anti-codon, and T loops).
Source: RNAcentral